Molecule: long non-coding RNA, 841 nt
Organism: Etheostoma spectabile (orangethroat darter)
Lineage: Eukaryota; Metazoa; Chordata; Actinopteri; Perciformes; Percidae
Exons: 3
Source: RefSeq, a predicted model, not a curated record
UAAGGUCUAUAUAAAAGAGAUUCAGAUACAGUAUUAGGGGACCACUAAGGUCUAUAUAAAAGAGACUUCAGAUACAGUAUUAGGGGACCACUAAGGUCUAUAUAAAAGAGACUUCAGAUACAGUAUUACGGGACCACUAAGGUCUAUAUAAAAGAGACUUCAGAUACAGUAUUAGGGGACCACUAAGGUCUAUAUAAAAGCAUCCAAAGACCACCAUGUCAUGGGACCUUUAAAUAAUGUACAUAACUUACGCACAAGACAAAAUUUAAGUAUGUUAUGUAACCAAGUCAACAUUGACAUUCAGUUUCACACGGGACACGAACAGCGGUCUCCUCUGUGAAAGUCCUGUGUCGGCUUGACCCAUCCAUCCACCAUGAACUUCAUUAUAUGCGGAAUUUGUUGGCUUUGAUUAGAGUUGUUAUGCAUUUGUGAUAGGUCAAAGACAACCUUAAUCGGGACAAAAUAUGUUUCUCUCAGAGGAUGCAGUUUUGUUGUAUGGGUAUUUUGAGGAGACAGCAUUGCUUUGUUUUACCUCAUGUUUUAUCACACAUCAGUGUACUUGUCUUUGUUGAAUUGCAGGCACUUGAGAGGAAAUACAAAGUAAACCUAAAAAGUGGUAAAGCCAAAGUUGUCUCUCCUCCAAACCGCAUUGUAAUAAUUAAUGGAUUUUUUAUCCCACAUUCAAACAACUACAGUACCUGUGUCAAUGCAUCACUAAACACAAACCUUCAAUAAGCAACUCUAAACCAGAUAUUCUAUUUCAGUUUACAUUACACUGAUUUCAUGACUGAUGAAAUCAGUGCUUAACUGUAGAAAUGCCUGCUUAUCUCAGCGUUGUGUG